CCAAAUCAUCAGACUCAAGUAGGCUUUAAUCCAAAUCCAAUUUGAGUAAUGCUAACAUUUAGAGAUGCAAUUGCCAUCAUUCCAGUAAAAGAAUUCUUCUCCAGUUGCUUCAAAUGGAAAUUCAAAGAACUGUAUGCCAUCAAUCAUUAUCUAUUCAUACACAACUUGGGAUUCAUGCCAAAUCAUCAGACUCAAGUAGGCUUUAAUCCAAAUCCAAUUUGAGUGAUGCUAACAUUUAGAGAUGCAAUUGCCAUCAUUCCAGCAAGAGAAUUCUUCUCCAGUUGCUUCAAAUGGGAAUUCAAAGAACUGUAUGCCAUCAAUCAUUAUCUAUUCAUACACAACCUGGGAUUCAUGCCAAAUCAUCAGACUCAAGUAGGCUUUAAUCCAAAUCCAAUUUGAGUAAUACUAACAUUUAGAGAUGCAAUCACCAUCAUUCCAGCAAGAGAAUUCUUCUCCAAUUAAUUCAAAUGGAAAUUCAAAGAACUGUAUGCCAUCAAUCAUUAUCUAUUCAUAUACAACUUGGGAUUCAUGCCAAAUCAUCAGACUCCAGUAGGCUUUAAUCCAAAUCCAAUUUGAGUAAUACUAACAUUUAGAGAUGCAAUUGCCAUCAUUCCAGCAAGAGAAUUCUUCUCCAAUAAAUUCAAAUGGGAAUUCAAAGAACUGUAUGCCAUCAAUCAUAUCUAUUUAUACACAACCUGGGAUUCAUGCCAAAUCAUCAGACUCCAGUAGGCUUUAAUCCAAAUCCAAUUUGAGUAAUAUUAACAUUUAGAGAUGCAAUCGCCAUCAUUCCAGCAAUAGAAUUCUUCUCCAAU
RNAcentral lists this long non-coding RNA (812 nucleotides) under Carica papaya (papaya). Its description in RNAcentral is "long non-coding RNA (CPAP_LNC016291)". Lineage: Eukaryota; Viridiplantae; Streptophyta; Magnoliopsida; Brassicales; Caricaceae. The record is from RNAcentral.